RNAcentral lists this ribosomal RNA (836 nucleotides) under Salmonella enterica subsp. enterica. Its description in RNAcentral is "bacterial LSU rRNA". It matches the Rfam family "Bacterial large subunit ribosomal RNA", at positions 371 to 1211 of the family's 2925-position model. Lineage: Bacteria; Pseudomonadati; Pseudomonadota; Gammaproteobacteria; Enterobacterales; Enterobacteriaceae. The record is from RNAcentral.
CCCCGUACACAAAAGCGCAUGUGCUGUGAGCUCGAUGAGUAGGGCGGGACACGUGAUAUCCUGUCUGAAUAUGGGGGGACCAUCCUCCAAGGCUAAAUACUCCUGACUGACCGAUAGUGAACCAGUACCGUGAGGGAAAGGCGAAAAGAACCCCGGCGAGGGGAGUGAAAAAGAACCUGAAACCGUGUACGUACAAGCAGUGGGAGCACCCUUUGGGGUGUGACUGCGUACCUUUUGUAUAAUGGGUCAGCGACUUAUAUUCUGUAGCAAGGUUAACCGAAUAGGGGAGCCGGAGGGAAACCGAGUCUUAACCGGGCGUUAAGUUGCAGGGUAUAGACCCGAAACCCGGUGAUCUAGCCAUGGGCAGGUUGAAGGUUGGGUAACACUAACUGGAGGACCGAACCGACUAAUGUUGAAAAAUUAGCGGAUGACCUGUGGCUGGGGGUGAAAGGCCAAUCAAACCGGGAGAUAGCUGGUUCUCCCCGAAAGCUAUUUAGGUAGCGCCUCGUGAAUUCAUCUCCGGGGGUAGAGCACUGUUUCGGCUAGGGGGCCAUCCCGGCUUACCAACCCGAUGCAAACUGCGAAUACCGGAGAAUGUUAUCACGGGAGACACACGGCGGGUGCUAACGUCCGUCGUGAAGAGGGAAACAACCCAGACCGCCAGCUAAGGUCCCAAAGUCAUGGUUAAGUGGGAAACGAUGUGGGAAGGCCCAGACAGCCAGGAUGUUGGCUUAGAAGCAGCCAUCAUUUAAAGAAAGCGUAAUAGCUCACUGGUCGAGUCGGCCUGCGCGGAAGAUGUAACGGGGCUAAACCAUGCACCGAAGCUGCGGCAGCGA